RNAcentral lists this long non-coding RNA (1873 nucleotides) under Callithrix jacchus (white-tufted-ear marmoset). Its description in RNAcentral is "lncRNA (ENSCJAG00000078634.1)". Lineage: Eukaryota; Metazoa; Chordata; Mammalia; Primates; Cebidae. The record is from RNAcentral.
GUAACUUCACCCUAGCCUCUGAUUGGCUGCCUUUUGCAACCAAUCAGAUGUCUGUACAAGAAUGUGACCUUUGUAACUUUACUUUAGCCUCUGAUUGUCUGCUUUCUGUAACCAGUCAGACUGAUUGCAGGCUAUCACUUCAUUUACAUGAGGUGAGCAUGAAGUGGCUGAUGGGAAACACCUAGGUGGUAUGUGGAACCAAGAAGAUUCUGUAUCCAGACCCUCCAGCCACUGCUCGGGCCUGCUCCCACACUGUGGAGUGUACUUUCAUUUUCAAUAAAUCCCUGCUUUCGUUCUUUUGUUGCUUCAUUCUUUGCUUUGCUGGGCAUUUUGUCCAAUUCUUUGUUCAAAAUGCCAAGAACCUGGACAACUUGCAGUAAGGACCCUCUACCAGUGACAUAUCUUUGCAAUCCAGCCAGGAGAAAAGAGACCAUCACGCUUCAGAUGAUCAUGUGACAAGGUUUCCAGCCAGCUCCAGGUGAAGGCACCACCCCCCCAGCCAUCAAGGAGCCACCUGUCUCCACUAGACAGAAUAGGGUGAGAAUUCCAUGAUCUCCAAAAGGUAGAGACUACUUCCCAAGUCAGCAGGAAGCAGUUACAGAAGAAAGACCUUCAGUCCCUCUGCCUCCCAUAAAGAUUUAUGGGGAUCACGUCUCUCAAGGGCGUGAUGAGGCAGGAGAAUAGGGUCUGGAAGCAGGGAACCUAAGGCUCUUUCACACUGACUUCCUAGAACUAAAUUGAAAGGAAAACCUUAACUUUCCACACGAAGUAACAAAAGGAACAGAGGCUACCCCCUUUGACCUUUUCUGCACUGCAGACGGGAAACUGGCUAUCUGCAACUAAUCAGACUGAUUUUGGGCCAAAUCCUCAUUUUCACAGAAGUAUAACCUUGUAACUUCAUCCUAGCCUCUACUUGGUUGCUUUUUUGCAACCAAUCAGAUGUUCGCACAAGACUGUGACCUUUGUACCUUCACUUCAGCCUCUGGUUGGCUGCUUUCUGCAACCAAUCAGACUGACUGUGGGAUACCACUUCAUUUACAUGAGGUGAGAAUGAAGCAGUCAAUGGGAAGCUUCUAGGGGGUAUUUGGACCCAAGAAGAUUCUGUAUCUAGGCUCUUGAGCCACUGCUGGGGCCUGCUCCCACACUGUGGAGUGUACUUUUGUUUUCAAUAAAUCCCCACUUUCAUUCUUUUGUUACUUCAUUCUUUCUUGCUUUCCUGAGCAUUUUGUCCAAUUCUUUGUUCAAAAUGCCAUGAGCUAGACAACUUGCAGUCACGCCCCUCCACCAGUGACUCUUAGAUGCUUCUAAAGAAGCUUUCUUCAAACUAUUUACAUUAAAUAAGCAUUGAUUUGUUGGUAAAUUUUAAAAAUUGAUAAAUAAAAAAGGUUUUUUGUUCAUGUGAACAGGAUGACUUGCAUCAAAUAUGAUUUAUUUUGCUUAGUCACAGAAAUCACAUGGUUUUAUUUUUAUUUUAAAACAUACUUGGAUCUUUUUCUGUACCUUACAAUUUAAAAAACAAAACGUGCUAAGUCAUCAUUAAAAAUAUUCACUUCUUUCUUCCUUUAAGAAAAGUUAUGCAGGAGGGCAAAUAUUCAAAAUGCAUGAUAUAUGUUAAGAAAAAUGUGAAAUGAGAAGGGAGAAGAGAAGGAUAAUAGGAUAAUAAAAAUGUGUGCCAUUUGGCAUUUUUAAAUUAAUGGGCAAUCAAUUUGACCACCUAUUUAGAAAUUUAUUCAUUAUCCAAAAUGGCUGAGGCUACACAGGCUGCUGCUUUUGUCAAACUGUCAGUAGCAGCCACUGCAAAUACCUCAAAAAUGUUAAUAGAAUAGGGCUUGCUCAACACUCAGGACAGUGCUAGGGCUAGGGCUCCUGUGGG